RNAcentral lists this ribosomal RNA (467 nucleotides) under uncultured bacterium. RNAcentral describes it as "bacterial SSU rRNA". It matches the Rfam family "Bacterial small subunit ribosomal RNA", at positions 197 to 645 of the family's 1533-position model. The record is from RNAcentral.
UGGAGGAAAGUAGGGGAUCGAAAGACCUUAUGCUUUUGGAGCGGCCGAUGUCUGAUUAGCUAGUUGGUAAGGUAAUGGCUUACCAAGGCAACGAUCAGUAGUUGGUCUGAGAGGACGACCAGCCACACUGGGACUGAGACACGGCCCAGACUCCUACGGGAGGCAGCAGUGGGGAAUUUUGGACAAUGGGCGCAAGCCUGAUCCAGCAAUGCCGCGUGAGUGAAGAAGGCCUUCGGGUUGUAAAGCUCUUUCAGUUGAGAAGAAAAGAUUGUGACUAAUAAUUGCAAUUCAUGACGGUAUCAACAGAAGAAGCACCGGCUAACUACGUGCCAGCAGCCGCGGUAAUACGUAGGGUGCGAGCGUUAAUCGGAAUUACUGGGCGUAAAGGGUGCGCAGGCGGUUCUGUAAGUCAGAUGUGAAAUCCCCGGGCUUAACCUGGGAACUGCGUUUGAAACUACAAGGCUAGG